Molecule: long non-coding RNA, 1823 nt
Organism: Pezoporus occidentalis (night parrot)
Lineage: Eukaryota; Metazoa; Chordata; Aves; Psittaciformes; Psittacidae
Exons: 2
Source: RefSeq, a predicted model, not a curated record
GAAGUCUGUAAGGCAGUAGGUACCAUGCCCUUGGCUUUAUAAAAGCUCCGAGAGGAAGGGGACUGUUGCUUUCUUUGGACAGCCCCAUUGUGUGUUAACAGGUUUAAUUUCUUGGUCAUUCCUCAUUGGUGAGACCCAAGCUGUGGCCUUGUAAUGGGUGAUGAGAACUCAAGUCAAUGUACACUUCCUUUUUGGUAGUUUAGUGUUUCUGUAGGUGGGUGUUUUGUCUGAAGUCUUUCCAGUGUUGUCUGUUACAGUGAUGGACAUUAUUAAUAUGGUUAUCCUUUUUCUGCACUUCCCAUCUAACAGAAUAAUGCAAACAAUUGUUAAAUUUAACUGCAUUGUGUGAGGUUUUGCUCUUAACCCUGUGAUGUUUUUUAACUGGCUUUGUUACUUUUUCUGUUCAGUUUCGUCAACAGGAGAGCCGUAGGUAUCUGACAAUGACACAGCUGGAGCAGAUGUGGACACAAAUGUGCGACUCCUGAAACAAAGAGGCCGUACACAGCGAUCCUUAUAGAGUGAGCCAUGCAGGAUGUUCGCUACUCUGUCAAACCACAUGAGCACGAAACAGCAGGCAGAGGAAGCUAUCAGAGAGUUGAAGGAGACCAUGCAAAUGGAACAUGCUCACAUGAGGCUGCCUUGCCCAGUAGGAGCUUGGUGUUCACCUGCUGGUGCAGGGCCCUCAUGAAGUCCACACCCAGGGAACAAAGGCUGUGGGGUGAGUGCAGUGAGCACCAUUCCCUCAGGCCCCUUCCCCAGCACCCCUCAUUUUGGCUGUGCAGGCAGAAGUUGCUUGUACCUGUGGCCAAAAGGUGAGAUGAAAUAGAGGCAGCAGUGGACAUGGUUGUCCUGUUGAGGCCACUUUCAUCACGGAAAUACUGCUUGAACUGGUAGUCCAUGUAGUCAACCACUGGCUCAGAGAGCUGAGUUGUGGGGACAGGGGUGUGACUGCUUGAGUUCCCUGUGGGAUCCCCAGGAUUCCCAGGAUCCCCAGCUCAAUGCUUGCCGUGGUUCAAGCAUUGCAGACUGACAACCUAUGGGCAUCCCACCCUCGGAGCUGCUGGCACCCACGGUGGUGCUGCUCAGCCCUGCGGAGAGCCCCACAGCGCACACCAGUCAGUGGUGUUGACAGCACCACUAAAGCCUGGUGUGUCCACAGUGGUCAGCACAGUUUGACUCUCUUCUCGAUGUUCACCACGUGGUGGAUGAUCACUGUCUGCGUGAUGUGCUCUCGCUUGUCCUUUCCCCUGCCCAGCAUUGAGGGUCUUCUGCAGGGUCCCCAGCAAGCGGCCUGAUGACACUGCGUGCAGCAGGCACAUGCCAUCCCAUCCCACAGCUCCAUUCAGCUGGGUGAGGGGCUGCCCAUUGUCUCAAAGAUUGGUAUGAGAAGCUGACGUCCAUUAUCUGAGAGAUGAAUGUGAGGAGCUGCAACAAGACUCCACAGUCCAGACUCCACAGUUAUCUCAAGGAUUAGUGUGCAGAAUUGCCAUCCCAUAUCUCCAUGAUUGCUGAUUGCAGUUGAAGAGCUGGCUGCAAGACCAAUGAAAGUGGAUGCACCUGAUCCACCAGGAAUGUACAGUACUUGAGAUUAAGGACAGAGAUAUUCCCCCCACACAUAAUUCAAAGGGGGAAAAGGUAAUCACUAUGUGGCCACCCACCUCUGAUGACAGAUACUGACUCUAGGGGACACCCACCACCGAAGAUGAUGACUUGGGACAGUGGUGACUGUCCUUCUCUGCACCCUCAAUUCUUGCCUAAUUUCUGUCCUUUCUUCUAGUCUGUCCCAUUGCUGUCUUUUCUAUAAUAAUCUUCUUUUGUAAUAA